RNAcentral lists this long non-coding RNA (730 nucleotides) under Cricetulus griseus (Chinese hamster). RNAcentral describes it as "lncRNA (ENSCGRG00015042395.1)". Lineage: Eukaryota; Metazoa; Chordata; Mammalia; Rodentia; Cricetidae. The record is from RNAcentral.
AGGAAAUGUUCAAGAGAGAUUGUCCUGGACUGAAAGGAACCAGCCUCAGCUAGAUCCUGUCACUUAAACACAAAUGCCAUAAAAAUGUGUUCUUAGGACAAUGAGAGCUAUGGGUGUCGUUAUAGAUAGUAUGGUUGAACUAAAGAGAGCCCUUCUUUUUGUUUUAUUUUCUUUAUUUUUUUUUGUUGUUGUUCUUGAAGACAAGGUUUCUAUGUGUGUCCUUGGCUAUCCUGGGAACGUCCUCUGUAGAGCAGGCUGGUCUUGAACUCAAAGAUCCACCUGUCUCUCCCUUCAGAGUUCUGGACUUAAAGGUGUAUCAUCACUGCAAGAGAAAGAGAAUCAUCUUAUUCUUCCAAGAUGCAUUCUGAGCACUUAGGAAUGAGGUACAUGCUCUACACGUCCAGAAAACAAGAGAAGUGGGGGAAAAGUACACAUGAACAUGGCACCAAAGACAAAUAUAAUCACGAACAGUCAAUGAAUGGGAAAGAUGGUGCAGGGCUGGAAAUGGUGUGGGGACUAUUCUGAUGACUGAACAAAGACAGCACACACUGACUCAGACAGCCACUCUAUAUUCAGGAGAAAAUCUGACUGUUAGCCCUCAGGGGCCAUGGCAUGCUUCAUCCCCAGUGCAGAGGAGCCUGCCUGAGCUUUCUAAACUGAAUCCAAGAAAGGCAAGUUUGCAAACACAGACUCUCCUGGUGCCAGCAGCUGAUCUUCAGGGAAGAGGGAG